RNAcentral lists this ribosomal RNA (339 nucleotides) under Salmonella enterica. Its description in RNAcentral is "partial 23S ribosomal RNA". It matches the Rfam family "Bacterial large subunit ribosomal RNA", at positions 1 to 369 of the family's 2925-position model. The record is from RNAcentral. Lineage: Bacteria; Pseudomonadati; Pseudomonadota; Gammaproteobacteria; Enterobacterales; Enterobacteriaceae.
GUUGUGAGGUUAAGCGACUAAGCGUACACGGUGGAUGCCCUGGCAGUCAGAGGCGAUGAAGGACGUGCUAAUCUGCGAUAAGCGCCGGUAAGGUGAUAUGAACCGUUAUAACCGGCGAUUUCCGAAUGGGGAAACCCAGUGUGACUCGUCACACUAUCAUUAACUGAAUCCAUAGGUUAAUGAGGCGAACCGGGGGAACUGAAACAUCUAAGUACCCCGAGGAAAAGAAAUCAACCGAGAUUCCCCCAGUAGCGGCGAGCGAACGGGGAGGAGCCCAGAGCCUGAAUCAGCAUGUGUGUUAGUGGAAGCGUCUGGAAAGGCGCGCGAUACAGGGUGACA